AACACUCCUAGUGUUCUCUGCGGUUUGUUGUAGCAUCAGAGUGUCUUGGCAACCAAAGGCAGAGCUGGUGCUAUGGAGGACCUGCUUACUGCUAUGAGGUAUUACUUUAUGCAGGUCCUGGAGAAGCUGAUUGAGGCCAAGUCACUGUUGCAAGGAGACACGAGACUCACAUCAGAGUUCUAUGGCUUAACAUGGGAGAUGGUGUGAAAAGAACCAGAGAUCCUUGGGGAAAUGUCUGAUUCUAAGAUAUUUCUAAGGCUGGUGAAAAUAUGUAAGAGAAGCCUGGAGAAGAACCAGUAAUACCAGAAAUCAAGGAGGGGCCCUGAAGAGAAAAGGAUAACAAAAGGAUGAAGACCUGUCCAAGGGACCCAGCAGCCAACAUGAAAGAGCUCUCAAUGGGGAAAGCUGGAGCAAUUUCAACAACAAAAUAAAUAAUAUGUCACUGGAUUAUAACCUGAAGUAUAAAAAGUAUGAGUCCAUACUGUUACAAAUAAAUGACUGAAUAAAUACAUAAAUGAGACGAA
Molecule: non-coding RNA, 524 nt
Organism: Macaca mulatta (Rhesus monkey)
Lineage: Eukaryota; Metazoa; Chordata; Mammalia; Primates; Cercopithecidae
Source: RefSeq, a predicted model, not a curated record